UCUAAUAACUUGCCGCCGUUGAACACGACCACAAGAAGCGUCGUGUAGUCAUUAUCAGCUUCAAAGUAAAGUACAUAAUAACAACACAUAAUCUUCCUGCGUUUAACAUUAUACAGAAAUUACGUUUACGCUCCCAGUGGCUGCUUUUCAUUGUUUUUCAACGAAAUGAAUGGAGAACACGCACAGAGGGGAAAAGUUCACCCUAACAAGAAGCUUAGACUCUCUUCGAUCAAUCAGUAACUGAGAAUCCCAAACAAAAAACCUCACAGACCUACAGGUGGGUAACAUCCCCUUCAGACCUCCAUUCACUCAUGAAUAGAAAAAUAGGCUCCACCGUACAAUUACAUGAUUGAUUUAAAAACUUUUCAUAGGAAAACAACAAACUAAAAUGCAAACAAUAUUUUCUCAUUCAUUAGUCAGAACAUUUUAUUUUAUACAAUCUUUAAAAAGCCUAUACAAAAACAGUUUCUGAAGGAGGCAGUCCAUUUAGGCAUACAAAUGAUUUUUUUUGUCCUUUUGGGGUGACUUCUGAUCACUUUAAUGUUUGUGGUGCUUUUAGAUGAAUACAUUUGUUGUCAAAUAUUUUAAAGUGAAAGAAAUCCUAAAUCUCCUUCAUGUGGGUGAUGGCAGAAUUCUCUUUUAAGGUAACUGUUCAGUUCUUAUUUAGUGCUCAGUACAUUUCUAAAUUUUUGCUUUAGCACUUGUUAUUUCAGUCACAUAAAUUUAACCCCAUGGAAAACAAUUUUUAUUUCUGGCAUCAUAACAUGAUCAUAGGACAAUAUCUGUGUUCAGUGGAAAAAGCCACACUAUCUCUGCUGUCUGAUGACCCUUUUGAUUCAAGAGAGUUUGAGUGUUUCAUCUUGUCAAAGGAGUUUUAAUCAUGGUUAAAAUGGAGGGAUAUAAACUCCUUGUAUGCCCACCCCCCCAUGUUGCCAGUGACAACAUAUUAAUGCUACUGUGAUAUAUCCUUCAUCUAAAACAUUAAAAAGAGCGGAAAGUUUUUGAAAUAAUCUCUGGAUAGAAAGCGAGGCUAAAGCUUGAACUUGUAUAUCUGGACAGAAAGUCUUUAAAAGCUUUAAGCUUGAAACGCAUUCCAAUUAAAGACUGAACAAUACCAUGACAUUACUGUAAAGGAAUAAUUUCUUGUAAAUUACUAAACCCUUUGAUUGUAGUAUUUACUCAUUUCACAACUGAAAAACAGCUACUCUAAACCUAUUGUUGAUUACAGCGGCAGUAACACCAUGAAACAACUGAACGCAUUUAGACAAUCUGAAAAA
Long non-coding RNA from Cyprinus carpio (common carp), 1277 nucleotides. RefSeq lists it as uncharacterized. Lineage: Eukaryota; Metazoa; Chordata; Actinopteri; Cypriniformes; Cyprinidae. The transcript is spliced from 2 exons. The record is from RefSeq and is a predicted model, not a curated record.